AGCAGCCGCGGUAAUUCCAGCUCCAAUAGCGUAUAUUAAAGUUGUUGCAGUUAAAAAGCUCGUAGUUGAAUUUCGGGGUCAGUAGGUUGGUCGUGCCAAUGGUAUGUACUGGCUUUACUGAUUCCUCCUUCUUGAAGAACUGUAAUGCCAUUAAUUUGGUGUUGCAGGGAAUCAGGACUGUUACUUUGAAAAAAAUUAGAGUGUUUAAAGCAGGCUUACGCUUGAAUACAUUAGCAUGGAAUAAUGAAAUAGGACGUUGAUCUUAUUUUGUUGGUUUCUAGGAUUGACGUAAUGAUUAAUAGGGAUAGUUGGGGGCAUUAGUAUUCAAUUGUCAGAGGUGAAAUUCUUGGAUUUAUUGAAGACUAACUACUGCGAAAGCAUUUGCCAAGGAUGUUUUCAUUAAUCAAGAACGAAAGUUAGGGGAUCGAAGACGAUCAGAUACCGUCGUAGUCUUAACCAUAAACUAUGCCAACUAGGGAUCGGAUGAUGUUAAUUUUUUAAUGACUCAUUCGGCGCCUUA
RNAcentral lists this ribosomal RNA (520 nucleotides) under uncultured Glomus. RNAcentral's name for it is "SSU rRNA". It matches the Rfam family "Eukaryotic small subunit ribosomal RNA", at positions 569 to 1090 of the family's 1831-position model. Lineage: Eukaryota; Fungi; Glomeromycota; Glomeromycetes; Glomerales; Glomeraceae. The record is from RNAcentral.